Molecule: ribosomal RNA, 253 nt
Filed under: uncultured bacterium
Lineage: Bacteria
Description: partial 16S ribosomal RNA
Rfam family: Bacterial small subunit ribosomal RNA
Source: RNAcentral
UACAGAGGGUGCGAGCGUUGUCCGGAAUCACUGGGCGUAAAGGGCGCGUAGGCGGCCUGAUAAGUAGGGGGUGAAAUCUCGCGGCUCAACUGCGAGGCUGCCUCCUAAACUGUCGGGCUCGAGCACAGUAGAGGCAGGUGGAAUUCCCAGUGUAGCGGUGAAAUGCGUAGAUAUUGGGAAGAACAUCAGUGGCGAAGGCGGCCUGCUGGGCUGUUGCUGACGCUGAGGCGCGACAGCGUGGGGAGCAAACAGG